CGGAGCGUGGCGCAGUUGGCAGCGCGCUGCGUUUGGGACGCAGAGGUCGUGAGUUCGAGUCUCACCGCUCCGA
RNAcentral lists this transfer RNA (73 nucleotides) under Patescibacteria group bacterium. RNAcentral's name for it is "tRNA-Pro". It matches the Rfam family "tRNA". Rfam says of the family: Transfer RNA (tRNA) molecules are approximately 80 nucleotides in length. Their secondary structure includes four short double-helical elements and three loops (D, anti-codon, and T loops). Further hydrogen bonds mediate the characteristic L-shaped molecular structure. tRNAs have two regions of fundamental functional importance: the anti-codon, which is responsible for specific mRNA codon recognition, and the 3' end, to which the tRNAs corresponding amino acid is attached (by aminoacyl-tRNA synthetases). tRNAs cope with the degeneracy of the genetic code in two manners: having more than one tRNA (with a specific anti-codon) for a particular amino acid; and 'wobble' base-pairing, i.e. permitting non-standard base-pairing at the 3rd anti-codon position. The record is from RNAcentral.